Phascolarctos cinereus (koala) is the source of this 565-nucleotide long non-coding RNA. RefSeq lists it as uncharacterized. NCBI's taxonomy places the organism in Eukaryota, Metazoa, Chordata, Mammalia, Diprotodontia, Phascolarctidae. The record is from RefSeq and is a predicted model, not a curated record.
CCGGUUGCGGGUUCCCUAGGCUGCCUCUUCCGCUGGGCGCCCCCAUUCAACUCCGCCCCAAGUCCAUACAUCCUCAAAACUUGCCCCCGCAGUCCCUCUCUGGCCCGCUCCUUCCCCCCCCCUUCCCCAAGCAGUCUCCAGAAACCUCCCUCCCGCGCACAGCUGGUCCACGGGUCCCGAACCAACCCCUCCGCCGCUCCGCCUCACAGCUGAACCCCUAGUCCCACCACCCACUAGUUCCCCCCUGCCCAAAAUAAGUUUUUCUGCCCAGGGAAACCUCAAAUUGAGAGUGACCUCCAAACUGCCGAGAGGCGGCGUCAGUGGAUGGCCAGCCCUGGCAUAUAAAGCUGUGUGACCCUGGGCAUCCCAACUCACUUGUUAUAAGUGCUCUUCUCAGUCUACCUAACCCCCAACCAGAUAUAUUUGUAACAGUAUGGAUGUCCCACUUAAUGCGGAAAAGAAGAGAGGAAGAUAAAAGCCCCUAUCCCUCCCCAUUCCAUCUCAUCCUCUCCAGCCCUUGCAAGACACAGAUCUGGGCCUUAAUGGAAAGCUGAGACAAGGGGAC